UCCUAUUUUAACUAUAAGUUUCCACGUUAAACUUUAAUCGUCCGUCUUAUUUAAAGAUUUUUUAUAAUUAAUAUUUUUAUUGUUAUGACAUGAUAAAAUAUGAAUAGUAUUUUACUCGUGACUUAUAUUCCUAAAUUUUUUUAAAAAAAUUUCAAAUAAAACGGACUGUCAAAGUUGGACGCGAAAAACCAUGGUUGCACCUAAA
Non-coding RNA from Oryza barthii, 205 nucleotides. The record is from Rfam. Lineage: Eukaryota; Viridiplantae; Streptophyta; Magnoliopsida; Poales; Poaceae.